This 488-nucleotide ribosomal RNA is filed under the name uncultured bacterium. Its description in RNAcentral is "bacterial SSU rRNA". It matches the Rfam family "Bacterial small subunit ribosomal RNA", at positions 165 to 645 of the family's 1533-position model. The record is from RNAcentral.
UGCCCGCGAUAACAUUAAGGAAUAGCAUUAUACCAUAAUCAACAUAUUUAUAGGAUAAGGAUGGGCUUGCGGACCAUUAGCUAGUUGGUAAGGUAACGGCUUACCAAGGCUACGAUGUUUAGGGGAUCUGAUGAGGAUGACCCCCCACAGUGGUACUGAGCCAGGGUCCAGACUCAUACGGGAGGCAGCAGUAAGGAAUAUUGGUCAAUGGGCGGAAGCCCUGAACCAGCCAUGCCGCGUGCAGGAAGACGGCCCUACGGGUUGUAAACUGCUUUUGCAGGGGAAUAAACCUCAUUACGAGUAAUGAGUUGAAUGUACCUCUGAGAAUAAGGAUCGGGUAACUCCGUGCCAGGCAGCCGCGGUAAUACGGAGGAUCCGAGCGUUAUCCCGGAUUUAUUGGGGUUUAAAGGGCGCGUAGGCGGUUAUUAGUCAGGGGUGAAAGACGGUAGCUUAACUAUCGCAGUGCCCUUGAUACUGAUGAGGCUUGA